This 123-nucleotide non-coding RNA is filed under the name Dasypus novemcinctus (nine-banded armadillo). The record is from RNAcentral. Lineage: Eukaryota; Metazoa; Chordata; Mammalia; Cingulata; Dasypodidae.
AUGUUGUAUGAAAGGAGGGAAGGUUAGCACUCCCCUUGACAAGGGUGGAAGAGGCCUUCGGGCCUGACACACUUAUAAUUAAGGCAUUGCCACCUGCUUUGUGGCAUCUAACCACUGUCUCUC